Molecule: ribosomal RNA, 535 nt
Filed under: uncultured Mycobacterium sp.
Lineage: Bacteria; Bacillati; Actinomycetota; Actinomycetes; Mycobacteriales; Mycobacteriaceae
Description: bacterial SSU rRNA
Rfam family: Bacterial small subunit ribosomal RNA
Source: RNAcentral
CAUGCAAGUCGAACGGAAAGGCCCUUCGGGGUACUCGAGUGGCGAACGGGUGAGUAACACGUGGGUGAUCUGCCCUGCACUUUGGGAUAAGCCUGGGAAACUGGGUCUAAUACCGGAUAGGACCAUGGCCUUCAUGGGUUGUGGUGGAAAGCUUUUGCGGUGUGGGAUGGGCCCGCGGCCUAUCAGCUUGUUGGUGGGGUAAUGGCCUACCAAGGCGACGACGGGUAGCCGGCCUGAGAGGGUGUCCGGCCACACUGGGACUGAGAUACGGCCCAGACUCCUACGGGAGGCAGCAGUGGGGAAUAUUGCACAAUGGGCGCAAGCCUGAUGCAGCGACGCCGCGUGAGGGAUGACGGCCUUCGGGUUGUAAACCUCUUUCAGUAGGGACGAAGCGUAAGUGACGGUACCUAUAGAAGAAGCACCGGCCAACUACGUGCCAGCAGCCGCGGUAAUACGUAGGGUGCGAGCGUUGUCCGGAAUUACUGGGCGUAAAGAGCUCGUAGGUGGUUUGUCGCGUUGUUCGUGAAAACUCACA